GGGGACUUGAACAUUCCAGGCUCUGUGAACUAAGUGACUGAAGCUGAUUGACACAGGUCAAGGGGACUUCAAGGAAGAAAGCCAGCCUUAGACUGACAUCAGAGAACCAAACUCCGGUGUCUAAGCUCAAGAAUAGCACCAGCUGAGCAUGGUGGCCCAGGUCUGCAAAUCAUAGCUGCAAGAGAGGCUAAGACAGGAAGAUAUUAUUGUAAUACAAGUAAUUGGGAAGACACUGGCUCAGAGCCUGUCUCUGGUGACCACUGAAUUGUCCAGCACCUGAGGUCCCUGGAGCCCACGGACUGAGCCCAUCUGGGCUAAAAGAGGUCCCAUACAUCCUUCUCAAAGGCCUAUAUAAAUGCCAAGCAGAGUUAUAGCAGGCCUUGCGUGGAUGAAACAGUCCCAACGAACACUUUAAAAAGACAAAUGUUCCCGACAGCACUGGUUGAAUUCAAAACUCGGCAGAUCCAUGUUCUUAUCCUUAGACAAGAGAGGGGCCAUAACAAGAUGGAAUGACGGAACAGACGUGAGAGAUGAUGUCCACCCAGAGGGUCUGCACUUCUCGGAGCCAGAAGGUGGAGAAGAGUAGGGAUGGAGGAAGUUCGAAGUUUUAGGAGUCUGCUCUUGGGUCCCUAGGCAUGAGGACAAGCUUUUCCUGUACUCAAUGCUCAUCUCUCAGUUGUGCCCACAUUGGUACACAUUACUUGCUUUCAACUGCUGCUGCUGCUGUUUCCUAAUUCAAUAAAGAUAUGG
This 750-nucleotide long non-coding RNA is filed under the name Mus musculus (house mouse). RNAcentral's name for it is "predicted gene 29154". The record is from RNAcentral. Lineage: Eukaryota; Metazoa; Chordata; Mammalia; Rodentia; Muridae.